This 253-nucleotide ribosomal RNA is filed under the name uncultured bacterium. RNAcentral describes it as "partial 16S ribosomal RNA". It matches the Rfam family "Bacterial small subunit ribosomal RNA", at positions 524 to 776 of the family's 1533-position model. The record is from RNAcentral.
UACGUAGGGUGCGAGCGUUAAUCGGAAUUACUGGGCGUAAAGCGUGCGCAGGCGGUUCGUUAAGUCAGAUGUGAAAGCCCCGGGCUCAACCUGGGAACGGCAUUUGAAACUGGCGGGCUGGAGUGUGGCAGAGGGGGGUGGAAUUCCGCGUGUAGCAGUGAAAUGCGUAGAGAUGCGGAGGAACACCGAUGGCGAAGGCGGCAUCCUGGACCAAUAUUGACGCUGAGGAGCGAAAGCCAGGGGAGCAAACGGG